GACGAACGCUGGCGGCGUGCCUAACACAUGCAAGUCGAGCGAGGAAUUCACCUUCGGGUGAUGAACUAGCGGCGGACGGGUGAGUAACACGUGGGCAACCUGCCUCAUAGAGGGGAAUAGCCUCCCGAAAGGGAGAUUAAUACCGCAUAACAUGGCAGUACCGCAUGGUAUAGCAAUUAAAGGAGUAAUCCGCUAUGAGAUGGGCCCGCGGCGCAUUAGCUAGUUGGUGAGGUAACGGCUCACGAAGGCGACGAUGCGUAGCCGACCUGAGAGGGUGAUCGGCCACAUUGGGACUGAGACACGGCCCAGACUCCUACGGGAGGCAGCAGUGGGGAAUAUUGCACAAUGGGGGAAACCCUGAUGCAGCAACGCCGCGUGAGUGAUGACGGUCUUCGGAUUGUAAAGCUCUGUCUUCAGGGACGAUAAUGACGGUACCUGAGGAGGAAGCCACGGCUAACUACGUGCCAGCCGCCGCGGUAA
RNAcentral lists this ribosomal RNA (480 nucleotides) under uncultured bacterium. RNAcentral describes it as "partial 16S ribosomal RNA". It matches the Rfam family "Bacterial small subunit ribosomal RNA", at positions 28 to 523 of the family's 1533-position model. The record is from RNAcentral.